UGAUAAGAAAGGGACUUAAACCCCCAUUCAUAGGACUACAGCCUACCGCCUAUCCAUUCGGCCAUCUUACC
Molecule: transfer RNA, 71 nt
Filed under: Polychrus marmoratus (common monkey lizard)
Lineage: Eukaryota; Metazoa; Chordata; Lepidosauria; Squamata; Polychrotidae
Description: tRNA-Tyr
Source: RNAcentral